Molecule: ribosomal RNA, 466 nt
Filed under: Vreelandella stevensii
Lineage: Bacteria; Pseudomonadati; Pseudomonadota; Gammaproteobacteria; Oceanospirillales; Halomonadaceae
Description: partial 16S ribosomal RNA
Rfam family: Bacterial small subunit ribosomal RNA
Source: RNAcentral
CCUACGGGGAGGCUGCAGUGGGGAAUAUUGGACAAUGGGCGAAAGCCUGAUCCAGCCAUGCCGCGUGUGUGAAGAAGGCCUUCGGGUUGUAAAGCACUUUCAGUGGGGAAGAAAGCCUUGGGGCUAAUACCCUCGAGGAAGGACAUCACCCACAGAAGAAGCACCGGCUAACUCCGUGCCAGCAGCCGCGGUAAUACGGAGGGUGCGAGCGUUAAUCGGAAUUACUGGGCGUAAAGCGCGCGUAGGCGGUCUGAUAAGCCGGUUGUGAAAGCCCCGGGCUCAACCUGGGAACGGCAUCCGGAACUGUCAGGCUAGAGUGCAGGAGAGGAAGGUAGAAUUCCCGGUGUAGCGGUGAAAUGCGUAGAGAUCGGGAGGAAUACCAGUGGCGAAGGCGGCCUUCUGGACUGACACUGACGCUGAGGUGCGAAAGCGUGGGUAGCAAACAGGAUUAGAUACCCCAGUAGUC